Molecule: transfer RNA, 75 nt
Filed under: Clostridiales bacterium
Lineage: Bacteria; Bacillati; Bacillota; Clostridia; Eubacteriales
Also listed under: 7 other names
Description: tRNA-Glu
Rfam family: tRNA
About the family: Transfer RNA (tRNA) molecules are approximately 80 nucleotides in length. Their secondary structure includes four short double-helical elements and three loops (D, anti-codon, and T loops).
Source: RNAcentral
GGCCCCGUGGUCAAGCGGUUAAGACACCGCCCUUUCACGGCGGUAACAGGGGUUCGAGUCCCCUCGGGGUCACCA